GUGAGGAAUUUUCCGCAAUGGGCGAAAGCCGGACGGAGCAAUGCCGCGUGAAGGAUGAAGGCCUAUGGGUUGUAAACUUCUUUUCUUAGAGAAGAAUAUUGACGGUAUCUGAGGAAUAAGCAUCGGCUAACUCUGUGCCAGCAGCCGCGGUAAGACAGAGGAUGCAAGCGUUAUCCGGAAUGAAUGGGCGUAAAGCGUCUGUAGGUGGCGUCAAAAGUCUCCUGCCAAAGAUAAGGGCUUAACCCUGGGCCGGCAGGCGAGACUCUGAGGCUAGAGUUUGGUAGGGGCAGAGGGAAUUCCCGGUGGAGCGGUGAAAGGCGUGGAGAUCGGGAGGAACACCAAAGGCGAAAGCACUCUGCUGGGCCACAACUGACACUGAGAGACGAAAGCGAGGGGAGCAAAAGGGAUUAGAUACCCGAGUAGUCC
Molecule: ribosomal RNA, 426 nt
Filed under: uncultured bacterium
Lineage: Bacteria
Description: partial 16S ribosomal RNA
Rfam family: Bacterial small subunit ribosomal RNA
Source: RNAcentral